Molecule: non-coding RNA, 75 nt
Organism: Potamilus streckersoni
Lineage: Eukaryota; Metazoa; Mollusca; Bivalvia; Unionida; Unionidae
Source: the annotation of a GenBank genome assembly
ACUCCUGUGGCCUAGUGGUUAGAGUAUCUGCAUUGGAUGCAGGAAGUUGUGGGUUCAAAACCCAGCUGAGUUGUA